RNAcentral lists this ribosomal RNA (1009 nucleotides) under Limosilactobacillus fermentum. RNAcentral's name for it is "bacterial SSU rRNA". It matches the Rfam family "Bacterial small subunit ribosomal RNA", at positions 64 to 1059 of the family's 1533-position model. Lineage: Bacteria; Bacillati; Bacillota; Bacilli; Lactobacillales; Lactobacillaceae. The record is from RNAcentral.
GCACCUGAUUGAUUUUGGUCGCCAACGAGUGGCGGACGGGUGAGUAACACGUAGGUAACCUGCCCAGAAGCGGGGGACAACAUUUGGAAACAGAUGCUAAUACCGCAUAACAACGUUGUUCGCAUGAACAACGCUUAAAAGAUGGCUUCUCGCUAUCACUUCUGGAUGGACUGCGGUGCAUUAGCUUGUUGGUGGGGUAAUGGCCUACCAAGGGCCGAUGAUGCAUAGCCGAGUUGAGAGACUGAUCGGCCACAAUGGGACUGAGACACGGCCCAUACUCCUACGGGAGGCAGCAGUAGGGAAUCUUCCACAAUGGGCGCAAGCCUGAUGGAGCAACACCGCGUGAGUGAAGAAGGGUUUCGGCUCGUAAAGCUCUGUUGUUAAAGAAGAACACGUAUGAGAGUAACUGUUCAUACGUUGACGGUAUUUAACCAGAAAGUCACGGCUAACUACGUGCCAGCAGCCGCGGUAAUACGUAGGUGGCAAGCGUUAUCCGGAUUUAUUGGGCGUAAAGAGAGUGCAGGCGGUUUUCUAAGUCUGAUGUGAAAGCCUUCGGCUUAACCGGAGAAGUGCAUCGGAAACUGGAUAACUUGAGUGCAGAAGAGGGUAGUGGAACUCCAUGUGUAGCGGUGGAAUGCGUAGAUAUAUGGAAGAACACCAGUGGCGAAGGCGGCUACCUGGUCUGCAACUGACGCUGAGACUCGAAAGCAUGGGUAGCGAACAGGAUUAGAUACCCUGGUAGUCCAUGCCGUAAACGAUGAGUGCUAGGUGUUGGAGGGUUUCCGCCCUUCAGUGCCGGAGCUAACGCAUUAAGCACUCCGCCUGGGGAGUACGACCGCAAGGUUGAAACUCAAAGGAAUUGACGGGGGCCCGCACAAGCGGUGGAGCAUGUGGUUUAAUUCGAAGCUACGCGAAGAACCUUACCAGGUCUUGACAUCUUGCGCCAACCCUAGAGAUAGGGCGUUUCCUUCGGGAACGCAAUGACAGGUGGUGCAUGGUCGUCGUCAGC